CCUACGGGAGGCAGCAGUGAGGAAUAUUGGUCAAUGGGCGAGAGCCUGAACCAGCCAAGUCGCGUGAGGGAGUACUGCCCUAUGGGUUGUAAACCUCUUUUGUCGGGGAGCAAAAGCCGGACGUGUCCGGCUGUGAGAGUACCCGAAGAAAAAGCAUCGGCUAACUCCGUGCCAGCAGCCGCGGUAAUACGGAGGAUGCGAGCGUUAUCCGGAUUUAUUGGGGUUAAAGGGUGCGCAGGCGGAUUUUUAAGUAAGCGGUCAAAUCGUGGGGCUCAACCCCAUCCAGCCGUUGAAACUGGGGAUCUAGAGUGUGCGAGAGGUAUGCGGAAUGCGUGGUGUAGCGGUGAAAUGCAUAGAUAUCACGCAGAACCCCGAUUGCGAAGGCAGCAUACCGGUGCACAACUGACGCUCAGGCACGAAAGCGUGGGUAUCGAACAGGAUUAGAUACCCUGGUAGUC
RNAcentral lists this ribosomal RNA (458 nucleotides) under uncultured bacterium. Its description in RNAcentral is "partial 16S ribosomal RNA". It matches the Rfam family "Bacterial small subunit ribosomal RNA", at positions 338 to 795 of the family's 1533-position model. The record is from RNAcentral.